AACGAACGCUGGCGGCAUGCCUAACACAUGCAAGUCGAACGAGACCUUCGGGUCUAGUGGCGCACGGGUGCGUAACGCGUGGGAACCUGCCUUUAGGUUCGGAGUAACUCAGAGAAAUUUGAGCUAAUACCGGAUGAUGUCUUCGGACCAAAGAUUUAUCGCCUUUAGAUGGGCCCGCGUUGGAUUAGCUAGUUGGUGGGGUAAAGGCCUACCAAGGCGACGAUCCAUAGCUGGUCUGAGAGGAUGAUCAGCCACACUGGGACUGAGACACGGCCCAGACUCCUACGGGAGGCAGCAGUGGGGAAUAUUGGACAAUGGGCGAAAGCCUGAUCCAGCAAUGCCGCGUGAGUGAUGAAGGCCUUAGGGUUGUAAAGCUCUUUUACCCGAGAUGAUAAUGACAGUAUCGGGAGAAUAAGCUCCGGCUAACUCCGUG
RNAcentral lists this ribosomal RNA (433 nucleotides) under uncultured bacterium. Its description in RNAcentral is "partial 16S ribosomal RNA". It matches the Rfam family "Bacterial small subunit ribosomal RNA", at positions 29 to 507 of the family's 1533-position model. The record is from RNAcentral.